This is an RNA transcript of Bicyclus anynana (squinting bush brown), 7939 nucleotides long. RefSeq lists it as uncharacterized. NCBI's taxonomy places the organism in Eukaryota, Metazoa, Arthropoda, Insecta, Lepidoptera, Nymphalidae. The transcript is spliced from 3 exons. The record is from RefSeq and is a predicted model, not a curated record.
UGUGAACUGACGUUAGUUUUGACGUUUUGCUUUUGACUGUAAUUUGUAAAUAAAAUGAAAUUUAUAGAAAAUGUUUGUGUUUGGGAAAAUUUGGAAAAUAAUUUAGAAUUCUUAAAAUGACAUACUGUACCGUUCCAAAAUGUAGGGAAGUUGGAGUACAUAGAUUUCCAAAAAAUGAAAAAAUAUUAAAGCGUUGGUUACAGGCUUUAUGUCGUGAAAAAUCUUCGAUAACUGUUAACUCUAGGUUGUGUGGGAAACACUUCCUUGAAAGUGAUUAUGAAACAUACAGUAAAUACACAGGAUUUCCAAACCUACGUAAAGUAUUAAAGAAAGAAGCUGUACCAUCAAUUUUUCCAUGGUGUCCACAUCUAAUUUCUGACCAGCCAACAGAUAGAGAGCAGAGACCAAGACACAGUGACAUUAGGAAAAAACCGUGUCUUGAUUCAGAGAUUUCUAUCCAGUCUGUUGAUAGAUUACCAGGAGUAUCAGGAGUUAAACCAGAAUACAAUGUGUCACACAAUUUAGACGUUUCCCAAGAAAUUUUAAACCAUAGUGACAGUCCAGUAAAUGAAUCUGAUAUAAAAAAUAAAAGCACUCGUAGUGUUGGUACUCAAACACUCAGUAUAUUAAAAUUAUUCCCUACUGAUGUAUUAUUUUUUGACAGUGGUAAAUCCAAGAUUUUGGUUUGGGGGAGGCUUGAACCUCACGAGGUUUUAUCAAGAAAAAAGUGUAAAAAAGUACACUAAAUUUAAUUUUGCUUUUCACUCUUGAAUAAAUUUCUGUGAAUGCUACAUUGAUUUUGUAAGGAGGGGGGGGGGGGGGACAAAUAGCUUAGCAAUCCAUGGAUUAACUGAGCGGGUGCUGGGUCCAUCACAUGGCACAGUGGGUCCCCACCAAUUUUCAGUUAAAUCGGUACAGCCAUUCUUUAGCGGCGACUUCAUAACUUUCUUCUGAUACUUAAAUUUUUAAACUUUUGAUAACUUUUGAAUGGAAUGUCCGAAUUGAAUAAUUCAAAAAGCUAAAUAAAGAUAUUGAAUUUUUUUUCAAUAUCUAAAAAAAAACAGGCUUGAAUCUGAAGUAGUUUAUUUUGAUAAGAAAUCAAAUAACGAACCUUUUCUAACGACUGCAUUUCCAUUUUUUCUUUAAAUAUAAGAACACUUAUUGUGUCAUGACUUUAAUAGUUAGCAAUAUGCUGUCGCGACACUUUGAAGAAAAUGCAGUGCAUGUGAUGUAAAGAAUAUUAUAGGUAAAAUUUUUACACCUUGGAGUUUUAUUAAGGAUCCCUAAUAUUUUUGAAAAUAUAAUAUAGCCUAUAGCACUCAGGGAUAGUGUAGCUUGGUAAUAAUGAAAGAAUUUUUCAAAUUGGUUCAGUAGUUUCAAAGUCUAUUCAUUAUAUCUUUCCUCUCUCUCUCUUCAAAAAACGACAGACUUUUUUGUUGGUGAUUUUGGGUGCGAAACAGGUCCAUAGUCUAAAUAGUCAAAGGUACCAAUGAAUUUAUACUAAAAGGAGAAGUGAAUCUACAUACACAAAAAAGUUGUACAUUGCAGCGACACGAUUUCCGCAUACGGAAUAUUUUAGAACUAAUGUCAGCUGCAUUUUUAUAUGGAGACUUGCGAUUUAAAAAAAUGUAUUUUCGUCGAGAUACAAUAAAACACUUACUAACUUUUUGUCAUGUAUAUAAUCUACAUAAAUUCUGUGUCUUUUCUAAACUUUAGUUGAAUUAGGUAGGUAGUUGAAUAAUUACACUUUACAACUGUCAUGUCUUGCUACCUAGCUCAAUAAACGUUAUCUAAAUUAUAAAUCGUAUUAUUUAAACAUAAUAGUGGCGACGAGACGAAAAUUUAGUGAAAAUGGAUCAUAAAGCAGUGAAGUUUGGUGAAUUUAAUCCAAAAAUCGACAUAUGGGACAAUUACAUUGACCGGUUAAAGUUUUGUUUCGAGGCAAAUGGCAUCAUGUUGGAUGGCGCCAAACGAGCGAAUUUCUUUACUGUGUGUGGAGCGGAAGUUUUUGAGACGUUUUUGGCGUUAAUUACACCAAGAAAACCGAGUGAUGUGACAUUUGUUGAAAUAGAAACAAUCUUAACAAAACAUUAUAGUCCUAAACCAAAUGAAAUUUCCGUGUCAUACAAAUUCUAUACACGUAACCAAAAUACAAAUGAAACUGCGUCAGAUUACAUUGCACAAUUGCGAAAAAUUAGCUCCAAGUGUAAUUUUAUGGACCUAGAACGAAUGUUACGUGAUCGGCUCGUCUGUGGCAUGAAAGAUCGCGGCCUACAGUACGAUCUUUUGAAAAAAGAUAACCUACGUUAUCAAGAUGUUAUAGAUGCUAUGUUAGCCGCCGAAACUGCGGGAAAAGAUUGUCACAUGAUUCAAUCUUCUGUCAAUAUAGAAAGCAGUAACACAAGUACAAACAAUACAUCUAUAAGUUCACCAGUAGAAGCCAUGGAUGUAAAUGCUGUACAGCCCAGGGCUAGCUCGCGUUUAUGUUACCGGUGUGGUGAUUGUCAUGGUGGUGAAUGCAGAUUUAUUAACGCUGUUUGCCGAUUCUGUUCUAAAAAAGGACACAUUAAAAAAAUAUGCUUAGUAAAGAAAAAAUCUUUUAAGAAGAAUAUAAAUUUUACUGAGGAACCAGAUAUACGCUUGAAUGGAAUUUACAGCAUUCAAUCUGAGACUAAAAUACUGCCUUUUGUGGUCGAAUUGUUAUUGGAAGACAUCCCUGUGGUAUUGCAAGUAGAUACAGGAGCGAGUUUUUCAUUGGUAAAUGAAUACACUUGGAAGAAGAUAAAAUAUCAAAACAAACAGAUUACUCUUCGACCAGUGUCACUUACUCUACGCACGUGGACAAACACACCAGUGAUUUUACUUGGUCAAACAACACUUCAUGUUCAGUAUAGAAAUCUAAAAUGUAACCUAAAUGUAAUCAUAGCAAAAGGAUGUGGUCCUAAUCUUCUAGGACGGGACUGGUUGAACCCGCUGAACAUAACAUUGAACAUUAAUUGUAUAUCAAGCAGUGAUCUUGUAAACAUUGACAAGACUAUUUCAAAAUAUAGUGAAAUCUUUGAGGACGAGCUGGGUACAUUUACUGGUGACCCUGUUACAAUACAUCUUAAACAAAAUGCUACACCUAGAUUUCUGAAAGCUCGUCUAGUACCAUAUGCCAUCAAAGCUAGAGUAGAGCAAGAAAUUGACCGGCUAGUGGCAGAGGGGGUACUACAACCCUUAUCUUUUUCUGAGUGGGCAACACCUGUUGUGCCAAUAAUAAAGAAGUCAGGGGAUAUCCGGCUAUGUGGAGAUUACCGUAGUACUGUCAAUCAAGCUACUGAAUCGGAUACUUUUCCUAUGCCGACAGCCAAUGAGGUAUUUGCUACAGUGGCAGGUGCAAAGUUUUUUACAACAUUAGACCUCGAUCGAGCAUACACACAAGUAAAAGUUACUGAGAGUACAGCCAAAAUGUUAACUUUAAAUACAUGCAAGGGCCUAUAUUCAGUUCAUCGGUUACCGUUCGGAGUCAAAGCAUGCCCUGGAAUAUUUCAGAGACUUAUGACAGCAUUACUGGCAGGUAUCCAGGGUGUUUCAGUUUUAAUUGAUGAUAUCAUAGUGAGUGGUCCUACAAUACUGAUUAUGCAACAAAGACUUGACAAUGUUUUAAAACGUAUACAGAAAGCUGGAUUCCAUCUUAACAAGAAUAAAUGUAAAUUUGCUCAAGAAAAAGUAGAAUUUUUAGGUUUUGUGAUCAAUGGAGAUGGUAUACACCCAGCUCCAAGUAAAGUGGAAGCUAUUUUAAAAACACCAGAACCUAAGAAUGUACGGGAGUUGCAAGCAUUUUUAGGCUUGUAUAACUUUUAUGAAAGGUUUAUACCUCAUAAGGCAACAACAUUGGAGCCGUUACACAGACUACUAGAUAAAUCUCAAACUUGGAGAUGGACCCAAAGAGAACAGGAUGCAUUUAAUAAAGCAAAACAGUUGCUAACAUUUGAAACAACAUUGGUUCAUUAUGAUUUGAAUAAACAUGUAAUUCUAACAUGUGAUAGUUCAGAAUAUGGCGUUGGAGCAGUGCUAUCACAUGUUAUGGACGAGGGACAUGAACGGCCUAUUGCAAUGAGCUCUAGGACAUUAAAUGCACAUGAGCGAAGAUAUUCACAGUUAGAUAAAGAGGCUACUGCGAUUAUGUUUGGCAUUAAAAAAUUUCACAAUUAUAUAGCUGGCAGACAAUUUACAAUAGUGACCGAUCACAAGCCGUUACUAGGAAUAUUUGAUCCUAAAAGACCUAUGCCAUCCAUUUUAUCACCUCGGCUAACAAGAAUCGCUAUAGCAUUAACAGCACAUGAUUAUAGUAUUACAUAUCGACCUGGAAGUCAAAUUGUCAAUGCAGACAGUUUAAGUCGAUGGCCGCUACCAGUCCCAGAGCAAGAAGAUCAAUCUUUGUGUGAAGUAUUGCUAAUGGCAGAAAAGGUGGAAGAUUUUCCCUACACAGCUCAUGAGAUAGCUUCCGAAACUACAAAAGAUCAGACACUUUCACGAAUUGUACAUUUCUUAAGAUGUGGAUGGCCAGGCAAAGUUACUGAUAGGGAUCUACGAACAUAUUGGUUGCACAGAACAGAGUUGUCUUUACAAGAUGGAUGUAUAUUAUUAGGAUGCCGCGUUGUUAUACCACCAUCCCUUCGACAAACCGUCCUACGCAUGCUUCAUACUACUCAUAAUGGAAUUGUUCAUACCAAGGCAUUGGCUAGGAGUUAUGUGUGGUGGCCACAAUUGAGCGACGACAUAAGUCGACUAGUUCAAAAUUGCACUAAGUGUCUGGAAAAUAGACGUAUGCCUGAGAAAUCGUCUCAUGAAUGGAUUCUUCCAUCAAGACCAUGGUCCAGAAUACAUAUAGAUUUUGCAGGGCCAUACAUGAAUAAAACAUUUCUUAUAGUAGUCGACGCUUUUUCUAAAUGGCCUGAAGUUUUUAUUGUAAGUAGCACAAAUUCUAGAACAGUGAUUGGCCAUCUAAGAAAUUUGUUUGCUACUCAUGGUAUUUGUGAAACCUUGGUCUCAGAUAAUGGUACUUCCUUUGUAUCUCAAGAAAUGAAACUAUUUCUAGAAUCAAAUAAAAUAAGACAUGUGACGUCAGCACCUUACCAUCCUGCCACCAAUGGCUUGGCAGAGAGGAUGGUACAAACUGUAAAAGACAAACUACGCAAAAUACAUGGACCAUGGGAAGUUAAAAUUCCAAAUAUGUUAUUAGGCCUACGUGUUACACCAUGUUCUUCUACAAAUAAGAGUCCUUCAGAGCUUUUAAUGAAUAGACGCCUUCGUACUGUCAUGGAUACUUUGCAUCCAGAUAAUAUACAACAUAGAAAAAUAGAAAGUCAAGUAAUAAAAAAUGCACAGCAGAAAAACAGACAAAGUAAUAUAGGACAAAAUGUAAUGUAUAGAAAUUAUAUAAAAGGACCAAAAUAGUUACCUGGACAAAUCAAGGAAAAAGACGGUCCAUCCAGCUAUAAGGUACAAACAGGAGAAGGAACCGUCUUAAGACGACAUAUGGACCAGAUUAUUAAAGUAAAAGAGAGUGAGAACCUACCAUCAACAAGUGGAACAAGUGGUGGAAAUAAUGAAAUAAUUGAUGAUACAGAGACAGGGGAUGAUGAUAAAGCCAAUCAGGAAGAAGAAAAUCAGUAUGAAAUAGAAACAGACCCUAUAAUUGAAAUACCGAGUGCUGAGAAAUGGGAGGAGAUAUUAGGAAUACCUAAAUCAGCAGAGAUUGAUAUACCCGGAGGAAAAAUUAGAACAAAAAGAAAUGUUUAUCAUAAAGGUCCAUAUUAUAGGCCGAGUCGUUCUAAGGAAGAUGAUGGUUAAAUUUAUGUUUAUGCUAUGUAUAUCUUUUAAAUACUUUGCUAUUGUAUUUGGGAUUUAAAUUUGUUACUUACUUAUUAAUUAGUAGUUAAUUAGUAAUAUACUUGGGAGGAAGGUAUGUCAUGUAUAUAAUCUACAUAAAUUCUGUGUCUUUUCUAAACUUUAGUUGAAUUAGGUAGGUAGUUGAAUAAUUACACUUUACAACUGUCAUGUCUUGCUACCUAGCUCAAUAAACGUUAUCUAAAUUAUAAAUCGUAUUAUUUAAACAUAAUACUUUUAAAAUAGUUUAUCUAUUGUUGUCAGGGAUCGAAAACAGGAUUUACUUAAUUGUACCUUGGCUCUCAAAUAAAAUACUAAAGCAGUCCGAACUUAGCCUAAUGCCUAGUUCGGACUACUUUAGCAUUUUAGUCGAGUUCGAGUACGAACGAUUUUUGGGCGGUAAAUCGAAAAAAUUUUUCGUACUCAACUAAACUAAAGUAAUACUCAAAGUAGAGUACUGAUACUGAAACUGAGUAGGUACAUUGAAUAUUGCUUUGACAAUAUUGGUACAGAGCCGACUGAAUGUAAUACACGUACUUGUACCGAAUCGUAAGUUAAUGAUGUACACCCUGUUUACUAGUUUAUACGUGGUUUAUACCUUUGACAAGGACAACUAAUAAAAAUGAUCUGUGGUUUGGUGUUGAGUGUUUUUUCUUUCUUUAAAUCUUUGUUUUUGGACUUUUUGGUGGUGUUUACACUUUUGACUUUACUUCAUUUGACGUUUGUGCACUUUACUGUUUGUUUGGGAAAAAUUGGAAAAUAAUUAAGAAUUCUUAAAAUGACAUGCUGUUUCGUUCCAAAAUGUAAGGAAGUUGGAGUACAUCGAUUUCCAAAAAAUAAAAAAAUAUUAAAGCGUUGGUUAAAGGCUUUACGUCGUAACAAAUCUUCGAUAUCUUUAAGCUCUAGGUUAUGUGGGAAACACUUCCUUGAGAGUGAUUAUGAAAAAUACAGUGAAUGCACAGGAUUACCACGUCAACGUAAAGUAUUAAGGAGAGAUGCUGUACCAUCAAUUUUUCCAUGGCGUCCACAUCUAGUUUCUGACAAGCCAACAGAUAGGGAGAAGAGACUAAGAAUCCGUAACAUCAGGAAAAAACUGUGUCAUGAUGUAGAUGACCAGUCUGUUGAUAUAUUACCACAAGUACCAGGAGUUAAAACAGAGUACAAUGUGUUAUACGAUUUGGACGUUUCUCAAGAAAUUUUAAAUCUAAAUAGUGACAGUCUAAAUGAAUCUGAUAUAGAAAAUAAAAGCACUUGUACUGGCACUCAAACACCCAGUUUAUCAAAAUUAUUCUCUACUGAUUUAUUAAUUACUGACGGUGGUGCAACCAGGAUUUUGGUUUUGGGGAGGCUUGGGGCUUUACAAAGUUUUAUCAAGGAAAAACUGUAAAAAAACACACUAAUUUUGAUUGUACUUAUCACUAAAUGACUCUUCUUGAAUAACUUUCAAAUCAUGUAACAGGACAAAUUCUGUACAUUGAAGGUAUUUCGAAAACUCUAGUGAUUUAGUCUUAGUGAAACUCAAAAAAUAUUCUUUUGUAUUUUUUGUCUGUUUGACCAUAUUUUUGUUGAAUGGGCUGAAACUUGUUCAAAUGAAACUUGGCAAGAUUUGAGACAAUAGAAGAAGGUCAUAGGAUUAUGAGAGACUGACUAGAUUUUAGAGGUGAAGUAGAAAGGGCAGUUGAAAGUUAAAUACUAAAAUAUAUAGAUCAAUUAUGAAAAGAUGUUUUAUUUUAAGCCCAAUAAAUAUCUAAAAUAAAAUGAAAUGAAAUUUAUAUGGAUGUCUUUCCUAUUUCUACAUUUUCUUGAGACAUCACUUAUGGUUAUAAGCAGUAAAAAGCGUUAGCUUUUGGGGUGGCCGCUCACUGUCAAUUUUUAAUUGCUGACUAUCGAACAACUAAAUUGCAAAUCCAACUUUUCAGUUGUGUGCAUUUUAAGAAAUUAAAUAUCACGUGUCUCAAUCGGUGAAGGAAAACAUCGUGAGGAAACCUGCAUACCAGAGAAUUAUCUUCAUUCUCUGCGUGUGUGAAGUCUGCCAAUCCGCAUUGGGCCAGCGUGGUGGACUAUU